Molecule: transfer RNA, 70 nt
Filed under: Heros severus (banded cichlid)
Lineage: Eukaryota; Metazoa; Chordata; Actinopteri; Cichliformes; Cichlidae
Description: tRNA-Cys
Rfam family: tRNA
About the family: Transfer RNA (tRNA) molecules are approximately 80 nucleotides in length.
Source: RNAcentral
AAGCCCUGUGGUGUAACACAUGUUGGAUUGCAAAUCCAGAGACGCAGAUUGACGUCUGCCGGGGCUUUCC